This 76-nucleotide transfer RNA is filed under the name Pseudobdellovibrionaceae bacterium. RNAcentral's name for it is "Bdellovibrionaceae bacterium tRNA-Pro". It matches the Rfam family "tRNA". From Rfam's summary of the family: Transfer RNA (tRNA) molecules are approximately 80 nucleotides in length. Their secondary structure includes four short double-helical elements and three loops (D, anti-codon, and T loops). Further hydrogen bonds mediate the characteristic L-shaped molecular structure. tRNAs have two regions of fundamental functional importance: the anti-codon, which is responsible for specific mRNA codon recognition, and the 3' end, to which the tRNAs corresponding amino acid is attached (by aminoacyl-tRNA synthetases). tRNAs cope with the degeneracy of the genetic code in two manners: having more than one tRNA (with a specific anti-codon) for a particular amino acid; and 'wobble' base-pairing, i.e. permitting non-standard base-pairing at the 3rd anti-codon position. Lineage: Bacteria; Pseudomonadati; Bdellovibrionota; Bdellovibrionia; Bdellovibrionales; Pseudobdellovibrionaceae. The record is from RNAcentral.
CGGGGCGUAGCGCAGUUGGUAGCGCGCGUGCUUUGGGAGCAUGAUGUCGGGAGUUCGAGUCUCUCCGCCCCGACCA